GGUGAGUAAUGCUUAGGAAUCUGCCUAUUAGUGGGGGACAACAUUUCGAAAGGAAUGCUAAUACCGCAUACGUCCUACGGGAGAAAGCAGGGGAUCUUCGGACCUUGCGCUAAUAGAUGAGCCUAAGUCGGAUUAGCUAGUUGGUGGGGUAAAGGCCUACCAAGGCGACGAUCUGUAGCGGGUCUGAGAGGAUGAUCCGCCACACUGGGACUGAGACACGGCCCAGACUCCUACGGGAGGCAGCAGUGGGGAAUAUUGGACAAUGGGCGCAAGCCUGAUCCAGCCAUGCCGCGUGUGUGAAGAAGGCCUUAUGGUUGUAAAGCACUUUAAGCGAGGAGGAGGCUACUUUAGUUAAUACCUAGAGAUAGUGGACGUUACUCGCAGAAUAAGCACCGGCUAACUCUGUGCCAGCAGCCGCGGUAAUACAGAGGGUGCAAGCGUUAAUCGGAUUUACUGGGCGUAAAGCGCGCGUAGGCGGCUAAUUAAGUCAAAUGUGAAAUCCCCGAGCUUAACUUGGGAAUUGCAUUCGAUACUGGUUAGCUAGAGUGUGGGAGAGGAUGGUAGAAUUCCAGGUGUAGCGGUGAAAUGCGUAGAGAUCUGGAGGAAUACCGAUGGCGAAGGCAGCCAUCUGGCCUAACACUGACGCUGAGGUGCGAAAGCAUGGGGAGCAAACAGGAUUAG
This 681-nucleotide ribosomal RNA is filed under the name Acinetobacter sp. DH62-2. Its description in RNAcentral is "bacterial SSU rRNA". It matches the Rfam family "Bacterial small subunit ribosomal RNA", at positions 105 to 781 of the family's 1533-position model. Lineage: Bacteria; Pseudomonadati; Pseudomonadota; Gammaproteobacteria; Moraxellales; Moraxellaceae. The record is from RNAcentral.